This 253-nucleotide ribosomal RNA is filed under the name uncultured bacterium. RNAcentral describes it as "partial 16S ribosomal RNA". It matches the Rfam family "Bacterial small subunit ribosomal RNA", at positions 524 to 776 of the family's 1533-position model. The record is from RNAcentral.
UACAGAGGUCCCGAGCGUUGUUCGGAUUCAUUGGGCGUAAAGGGUGCGUAGGUGGCGCCGUAAGUGGGGUGUGAAAUCCCGGGGCUUAACCCCGGGACUGCAUUCCAUACUGCGGUGCUUGAGGACUGGAGAGGAGACUGGAAUUUACGGUGUAGCAGUGAAAUGCGUAGAGAUCGUAAGGAAGACCAGUGGCGAAGGCGGUCUGCUGGGCAGUAGCUGACACUGAGGCGCGACAGCGUGGGGAGCAAACAGG